CUUUCCCACAGUAGGCAUGCAGACCAGGGCUCCUGAUUUCAGCCAGAGGUGAAUCCCAUAAUUAAAUGCAGCUGGUCCCUUUUCUCAUAAAAGUCUUACCUCCAAGGUGUAUGGGAACAGCUGAAUCAGGGCCUGAACCUCUGAUUGACCACCUGAGGCGAGCCAUGAGUCAGCC
This is a long non-coding RNA of Lagopus leucura (white-tailed ptarmigan), 175 nucleotides long. RefSeq lists it as uncharacterized. NCBI's taxonomy places the organism in Eukaryota, Metazoa, Chordata, Aves, Galliformes, Phasianidae. The transcript is spliced from 3 exons. The record is from RefSeq and is a predicted model, not a curated record.